Molecule: long non-coding RNA, 358 nt
Filed under: Scleropages formosus (Asian bonytongue)
Lineage: Eukaryota; Metazoa; Chordata; Actinopteri; Osteoglossiformes; Osteoglossidae
Description: lncRNA (ENSSFOG00015033249.1)
Source: RNAcentral
AUAAAUAAACUCUUUGGUACAGGUUCAAAUUCUGACCAACAGGACUUGAAAAGAGUCUCACGUCUCCUUUUUAAAGAGAGAGUCAACUGCAGCACAAAUGCCCACCUAACCCUAUCUAAGCUUUGCUGUCUGCCUUCCUUUUUACCCCACUGCUCACUCCACAGAACCCAGUUCCGGAAUGAUCCGAGUGACCACAGGUGCAGAUGUGUCACACACGGGUGGAUGCAAUCGUCUACCUUCGUCUGCGGCGAAAAUUGCAUUUUCCCAGGCUGUCAGUCACAAAUGAGCCCCAGGCCAUCAGAUCCUCUCUUGGAAGAUUUGUGGGCAUCCACCUCAGCAAGAACCAAUAAAGGCCUAA